RNAcentral lists this ribosomal RNA (492 nucleotides) under uncultured bacterium. RNAcentral describes it as "partial 16S ribosomal RNA". It matches the Rfam family "Bacterial small subunit ribosomal RNA", at positions 29 to 507 of the family's 1533-position model. The record is from RNAcentral.
AGUGAACGCUGGCGGUAGGCCUAACACAUGCAAGUCGAACGGCAGCACAGUAAGAGCUUGCUCUUACGGGUGGCGAGUGGCGGACGGGUGAGGAAUACAUCGGAAUCUACUUUUUCGUGGGGGAUAACGUAGGGAAAUUUACGCUAAUACCGCAUACGACCUACGGGUGAAAGCAGGGGAUCUUCGGACCUUGCGCGAUUGAAUGAGCCGAUGUCGGAUUAGCUAGUUGGCGGGGUAAAGGCCCACCAAGGCGACGAUCCGUAGCUGGUCUGAGAGGAUGAUCAGCCACACUGGAACUGAGACACGGUCCAGACUCCUACGGGAGGCAGCAGUGGGGAAUAUUGGACAAAGGGCGCAAGCCUGAUCCAGCCAUACCGCGUGGGUGAAGAAGGCCUUCGGGUUGUAAAGCCCUUUUGUUGGGAAAGAAAAGCAGCAGGUUAAUACCCCGCUGUUCUGACGGUACCCAAAGAAUAAGCACCGGCUAACUUCGUG